This 84-nucleotide ribosomal RNA is filed under the name Candidatus Omnitrophota bacterium. Its description in RNAcentral is "partial 23S ribosomal RNA". It matches the Rfam family "Bacterial large subunit ribosomal RNA", at positions 2842 to 2925 of the family's 2925-position model. The record is from RNAcentral. Lineage: Bacteria; Pseudomonadati; Candidatus Omnitrophota.
AGACUACGAGGUUGAUAGGCCAGGUGUGUAAGACCCGUAAGGGUUUCAGCUGACUGGUACUAAUCUGCCGAAUGGCUUGACCAC